UAUAAUGCAGUCGAGCGCAGGAACUGACGGAACUCUUCGGAGGGAAGGCAGUGGAAUGAGCGGCGGACGGGUGAGUAACACGUAAGGAACCUGCCUCAAGGAUUGGGAUAACUCCGAGAAAUCGGAGCUAAUACCGGAUAGUUCAACGGACCGCAUGGUCCGCUGAUGAAAGGCGCUCCGGCGUCACCUUGAGAUGGCCUUGCGGUGCAUUAGCUAGUUGGUGGGGUAACGGCCCACCAAGGCGACGAUGCAUAGCCGACCUGAGAGGGUGAUCGGCCACACUGGGACUGAGACACGGCCCAGACUCCUACGGGAGGCAGCAGUAGGGAAUCUUCCACAAUGGACGAAAGUCUGAUGGAGCAACGCCGCGUGAGUGAUGAAGGUUUUCGGAUCGUAAAACUCUGUUGUAAGGGAAGAACACGUACGAGAGGGAAUGCUCGUACCUUGACGGUACCUUACGAGAAAGCCACGGCUAACUACGUGCCAGCAGCCGCGGUAAUACGUAGGUGGCAAGCGUUGUCCGGAAUUAUUGGGCGUAAAGCGCGCGCAGGCGGCCUUUUAAGUCUGAUGUGAAAGCCCCCGGCUCAACCGGGGAGGGCCAUUGGAAACUGGAAGGCUUGAGUACAGAAGAGAAGAGUGGAAUUCCACGUGUAGCGNUGAAAUGCGUAGAGAUGUGGAGGAACACCAGUGGCGAAGGCGACUCUUUGGUCUGUAACUGACGCUGANGCGCGAAAGCGUGGGGAGCAAACAGGGAUUANAUACNCUGGUAGUCCACGCCGUAAACGAUGAGUGCUAGGUGUUGGGGGGGGUUUNCCGCCCCUCAGUGCUGAAGCUAACGCAUUAGCACUCCCCCCCGGGGGAGUACGGCGCGCAAGGCUGAAACUCAAAGGGAAUUGACGGGGACCCGCCCCAGCCGGGGGGCUUGUGGUUUAUUUCGAAGCAACUGCGAAGAACUCUUACCAACUCUUGACUUCCCA
Molecule: ribosomal RNA, 977 nt
Filed under: proteobacterium BND84
Lineage: Bacteria; Pseudomonadati; Pseudomonadota
Description: bacterial SSU rRNA
Rfam family: Bacterial small subunit ribosomal RNA
Source: RNAcentral